Molecule: long non-coding RNA, 1770 nt
Organism: Corvus hawaiiensis (hawaiian crow)
Lineage: Eukaryota; Metazoa; Chordata; Aves; Passeriformes; Corvidae
Exons: 2
Source: RefSeq, a predicted model, not a curated record
AUUCUGCCUCCAUGUGCAGAUGGAGCACAGAUCACUAGUGUGCUGACAAGCUGAACUCCAAACAAGGAGAUAAGCUACAUAUGUACUGGCAGCUUUCUGCACAAAAGUACUUCUGAAGCAGAGUGCUGUGUGUGAAAUUGGAACAGGAGCACUUCGCUGUUUGGUGUCACUUGAGACCUGGAUCUCAUCUGUGUGGGAAUGAGGUGGCGACAGCGGCUGCGGCAGAGCGACAGACAGGUUGUGUGCUGGAAAACAAAGAGAGAAUUCUGGCUCGCUGGGCUGGUGUGAAGAAUCACUGCCAUGGGGCUGAGUUAAAGGUGUGCAGGGCGUGCAGGGAGAAGAAAACAGGAGCAGAGUGAGAAGCCAGCUGUGAACAGCGCUGCUGGCUUUUGCUACUGAAUGAGCUCUUCUAGAAAAUGUCAAAGAACAUCCUCAUCAUCUAAAGCCAUUUCUAAAUGAUUACUAAUAUGGCUCAAUUAUCUUUUCCUUCCCUGCACCCAUGUGUUUAAAAUGUGAAAGAAAAUGGUGAGAUGACUGCUAAAGAUGCCUGAUAGUGCAUAUUUGCUUGGAAGUAUAUUUUCAUAUCAAGCAAAUGUCAGUGCAAACACCUGCAAUCUGUAUUGCUUGUAACUGUAAGAAGCAAAUCUAAGUUGGUUCACCACCACCACUUUCUGAAUAAGGCUGCUGCUUCUGUGUGGCUGUUACUACGUGUAUUUUUGCACUUCAAAAUGUGAAGGAAAGCAUGUUGAUUAUUAAAAGCAUUGCUCCUUGUUCCCUCAAAAAAUGAAGUAAAUACUAACGUAUGGUCUUCAGUGAAGAACAAACUGAAUUUCAAUGGAUUUUGAAGGGAAUAUUCUGUCAAAAUUCACUGUUUCUUUACAACUAAUUUGGUUAACACUUAAUUUCAAAGUAAGUGCAGAAUCAAAUUGAAACAUGAUACUGUGGGAAAGACGCUGAAAUCAAUUUAAAGAUUAUUGCAGGUACCACGACUUUGUACUUUUGUUUUUCCUCUCUCUGUUUCCAGCUGAAAACCCUAAGAUCAGUUGUGUUAAUCAGCACAAGAGGAUAAGGGUCUGUGCUGAGCUUUGACCUGAAGCAUAUUAAAUCCAUUAAAUUCAUUCCCUUCUCUGUUGGCUGACACAUUUGUGUAGAAUCUCUUUGCUCUGUGCCUGAGAAAUGUGGAAAAGACACGAGUUGCCCAAGCUGCUCCAUCCUUUGAGCCUGCAGUGAACAACUGCAGGGCCACCACAGAGGCAUGGUUUUGUCUCCCAGUAAUUUCAUGUCACAGUUUGUCCCUGUAAAUGGAAAACAAAAUGGUAUUUCUGAGCAGAUAACAGGUCUGGUCCUUCAGGCUUUCUGGGCCUGAAGAAAAAUCUACUCAUGUCAAUGAAAAUCUGCAAAGUGGUUUCUGUGAGGAAGUGGUUGAGAAAACAGCCUGUGAGGCACUUGCAGAUGUUGCACUCAACAUUUGUACAGAAGGCAGGAAAAAAUUAGCAGUCAAAAACUGAAAGUUACAAUAUUUGGUGUGGAUAUUUUUGUUAUCAAUUUAAAUAAUUUUCUUUCAAUUUCUUCUUAAUUUUUGUGUAACAAAAAAAACACGAAAUACUUAAAAAUGUAGUUCCUUCUAAAAGAAAAAAAAAAGGAUGUAUUUAUUAUGUAACUUACUUGAUGUCUUGUUACUGCUGGUCUAUUGUGUUGCAGGAACUGGAAUAUAAUCAAAGAGCUAUAGUGCGUUGGAUGUAACUUAUAAACUUUGGACAUUAAUCAGUA